GGACUGUAUUGGUUUAACAAUGAUGUCUAUUUAUUUAUUUAUAUUUUAUUUUUUUUAAUUUUUCAAGGAUAUUUAUUAUAAACGAAAAACAUCAGGAAAAAACGUAGGAAAACGAGAAAAUUUACGAAAUGUAUGUGUAUAUUAUUUUCAAAUCGUAAAUAUUACAGCCUUGCAAAGCAUGUAUAACCGAACUCUGCUCAAAAUCGUUAGGUACGCAUUAAAUGUCCCGUCGACCUUCCCAAUUUCUCACUAAUAACAGUGGCUCACUCAUCGUGCGAAGUUUGUUCGUAUUAUUAUUAUUAUUUUUUUUCUAUUUUUGUUAAUUUACAUAUGCGCGCCAGUUUCAGUACACAAACAAUUAAAAUUUCACCAAGACAUUUUGACCUUUACUAUACUCGUACAUAUAUUGUUUUGUUGUACACUUGUGCCUACAUAUUACUUUCGGAAACUGUUUCAAAUAACAAUGUGUUAUAGUCUCGUUCGAUAGUUUUUUCCCCGUUUUCAAACAUUCGAAUCGUCGUAUAAAUAUCGAACAUAAUAAUUAUAUUAUAAACUCGUCGAGUAACAAAAUUAAAUUAUUCAUCCCGUCACUUGAGAACUUGCUUUUGGUUUUUUUAGUCCGUUAAUAAUUUUUCGACCAGAAACCCAAUCGAUGAACGAAACAGAUUUAUUCAGAUAGUGUUUUUUAUAUAUAUAUCGUUCGUGCGCACUCUGAAAGUUAUUUUUAGAAAUAAUACCUCGUAGUUCUUUUUCGUUAUAACGAUUAUUGACGGGUUCUCGGACAAAAUCGUAUAGACUUGAAAUGUUGAACGUAAGCAACCAACAGAUGCAGGGUAUCCGAAAAUAUCUCGAACCCAUUCAUUUUUUAAAAUAUAUUUUUAUACGCGCCGGAUUAGAAUUUGAAUUUUGCAUUUUUUUUUUUUUCGCGGUUUUCCUCGGUUACUCUACAAGGGGAAAAAACUACAUAACUAAAUAAUGAGCCAAAUAAUUUGGGCGACACGCAGUUAAACGAGCUCCGCUGAGAAUCGUUUUUUUUUUUUGCAUUAUCAGCAUGCCUUUUUAAACUGAAUAUGACGUGUAUAAUAUGAUGUCCAGUUUCGAUUUUUUUUUUUCUGUUUGUGUAUGAAAAAGAACAAUAAACCAAACGUUUAUGUACGCACCUUUUUAAUGAUAUUCGAGGCGGACACGGCUAGUGUAUAUAAUAGAAUAUUAUUUUUAUACCGCGCGAUAAAACAAAACUGUGGAACCAGAAUAAUAAAAGUAUUAAAUGUUACGAUAGCAGAAACGAUUUGUCGUGUUAUUGAACGGGUACCUCUUAACCGUCGGAGUAUUUAUCCAAAACGGAUAACUGUUUUUUUUUAUUUAUUUUUUUUUUAUUUUAUUUUUAAUUGGAUACUGCGUUAUUAUUAUUUAUUUUCCGUGCCAACGACCAAA
Cinara cedri is the source of this 1434-nucleotide non-coding RNA. Lineage: Eukaryota; Metazoa; Arthropoda; Insecta; Hemiptera; Aphididae. The record is from the annotation of a GenBank genome assembly.